RNAcentral lists this ribosomal RNA (253 nucleotides) under uncultured bacterium. Its description in RNAcentral is "partial 16S ribosomal RNA". It matches the Rfam family "Bacterial small subunit ribosomal RNA", at positions 524 to 776 of the family's 1533-position model. The record is from RNAcentral.
UACAGGGGGGGCAAGCGUUGUUCGGAAUUACUGGGCGUAAAGGGCUCGUAGGUGGCCAACUAAGUCGGACGUGAAAUCCCUCAGCUUAACUGGGGAACUGCGUCCGAUACUGGAUGGCUUGAGUUUGGGAGAGGGAUGCGGAAUUCCAGGUGUAGCGGUGAAAUGCGUAGAUAUCUGGAGGAACACCGGUGGCGAAGGCGGCAUCCUGGCCCGACACUGACACUGAGGAGCGAAAGCCAGGGGAGCAAACGGG